This 223-nucleotide long non-coding RNA is filed under the name Phaseolus vulgaris (common bean). RNAcentral's name for it is "long non-coding RNA (PVUL_LNC002232)". The record is from RNAcentral. Lineage: Eukaryota; Viridiplantae; Streptophyta; Magnoliopsida; Fabales; Fabaceae.
AAACAUCACCUGCGCCAUCUGCUGAGGAAGGAGCUGUGACAAUGGCACAGGUCCUGGAGAUGAUGCGUGCGCUGCAGGACAAUGUCGCAGCGUCGAGAGCUGAACAAGAGAAGAUGCAGGCGGAGUUGGCUGCAUCGCAGAGUAGGAAUGAUGAGCUGAAUCGCGUUAAUGAGGAGCUGAGAAGGACGUUACAGACGCAGAAGGAACGCGCAGUUGGAGAAGG